This 703-nucleotide long non-coding RNA is filed under the name Prunus dulcis (almond). RNAcentral's name for it is "sRNA ncRNA". Lineage: Eukaryota; Viridiplantae; Streptophyta; Magnoliopsida; Rosales; Rosaceae. The record is from RNAcentral.
GCAAUUAUUGCAUCUCAAUCUAGUUAGCUAUCCUAUCCCUUUCUCUUUGAAAAUUUUCGCAAGUUUCUGUGUCUCUUCAAGCCCUUCAACAUCAGGUUGUGAAGAAUGAAGUUUCUAGGAAGUGUUCAUGAAUUUUCCGCAGCUAGAAUCGUCAACCGAAUACUUUGAAUAGCAGGACUUGGAAUGCACACGUCAUUUGUUGACAUUACAUUAUAAAAAUAUAUAUAGCUUUUGGAUUAAUGAACAACUGACUAAUCUUGUAACUCAUCGAAAAAAUGUCUAGAGGAGCAUAUGUUGUUCUAGGUGGUGGCCACGCAGAGGAACUAGGCAUCAUGCAAGACAACUCGGGGACGAUACUUUUGCUCUGCAUGAUUCUUAUGUCUCUCUCACUUAUAUCAAUGGUCAUAUUUGCUUGUGGUGAUGAUGAAGGAUCAAGCAAGAAAAGAUACGGAGGCGGCGGCGGCGGUAUUGUUGGUGAUGGUGGUGCAGCUUGUGGUGGCGGUGGCGGUUGUGGAGGUGGAGGUUGUUAGGAAGAUAUAUACAACUAUGUUUUCAUAAAAUUAAGAAAAGCUCGAAUUUAUGUCCACAAAACCUGUCGUUCUUAUAAUUGUUCUUGUUGAUACUAAUAUUGGUUUGUAAGUUAUGUUAUAUCGAUGGAGCUUCUUAUGUAUAUGAUGGUCAGAUUUUGGCUUUUACUAAUUUU